RNAcentral lists this long non-coding RNA (860 nucleotides) under Cucumis sativus (cucumber). RNAcentral's name for it is "long non-coding RNA (CSAT_LNC001728)". Lineage: Eukaryota; Viridiplantae; Streptophyta; Magnoliopsida; Cucurbitales; Cucurbitaceae. The record is from RNAcentral.
CAUGUUUGAGAUUCACAAAAGCACAUGGGGUUUCACCCCAAUGAUCAUCAGGUCUUCCUACAAUGGCAGCUUCAAGAACCGAUGGAUGAUUGAAUAGCACAGAUUCAACUUCAAUUGUACUAAUGUUUUCUCCUCCAGAAAUUAUGAUGUCUUUUGAACGAUCUUUCAGUUCUAUGUAACCAUCAGGAUGUCUUACUCCCAAAUCUCCACUGCGAAACCAUCCCCCAUUGAAGGCUUCUUCUGUAGCUUUAACAUCUUUCAAAUAACCAAUCAUUACGGUGUUUCCUCUGAUCAUAACUUCCCCCAUGGUUUUUCCAUCAGCUGGAACACUUUCCAUGGUGAUGGGAUUCUUAAUAUCCACCCCCUCCACUCCAAUGUGUUGCAUUCCUUGACGAGAUUUCAAUUUUGCUUGCUUUUCAUCGGGAAGAGAAUCCCAUUCAGGUUUCCAAUGGCAAAAUGUUGCAACACCAUACGUUUCGGUUAAACCAUAACAAUGGACAAUAAGGAAUCCUAAUUCUCUCAUCUUGUACAGUAUAUUAGAUGGCGGAGGAGCGCCCCCGGUCAUCACAGUUACCUUCCCCAGAAGCGGCUUCUGUUCGGUAAUUGGUGCAUUGACGAUCAUGUUUAAUACGGUCGGCGCGCCACCCAUGUGAGUGACGUUGUGUAGAGAAAUAUUAGCGAAGAUUUCUUUGGCAUUCACAUUUCUUUGGCAGAUGUUUGUGCCGCCUUGUGCAGCCACACCCCAAGUCAUAGACCAUCCGUUGCAAUGGAACAUUGGAACAGUCCACAAGUAUACAGCCAUUGAGGACAUAUCAUUCAGAAGGACUGUGGAUAGAGUAUUGAGAUAAGUACCUCUAUGG